GAUAGCUGGAGACCAAUACCCCACUUUCAAUAAUGGACGUUAACAACCAGACGGAAGAUCGACAGGAAACAGAAGGCUUGAACAACACCUUAAACCCACUGGACCUGCCAGUUAUCCACAGAAAACUCGUCCCCUGCAGGAUGCACGUACUGUCCCAGUGUGCAUGGAACAUUGUCCACAGAGCCCCACACUAGGCUACAGAGGCCACCACACCAGGAGGCAGUGAGAGGGGACUAGGCAGGCAGGAAGACUUACCAGGAGGGGGGUGGAUUGGAAGAGGCUCGGGUGACUGACUAAAUGGAGGCACAGGGAGACGACUCCAGCCUCAGGUGGUGGGUAGCGGUCACUGGGACUGGUUUCCCAGUGACGUGGUCCCUGCAUAACUGCUCCAGGAUGGAGGGUGCAUGACUUCGGGCAUCAUGCUGAGCAGGGUGGCCUUCAUUCUGAUGCCCUGAACAUGUGCCCAGGGAGGGACGUUGACUGGUUGGUUGAUGAUUGAGGUUUUGGAUCUGCUGGUGAAGUGUGGAAUAGCUGGUCCGCUGAGGUUAGACAGGAGACAGAUAAAGAAGGCCUCUGCAUGGGUGGGGGUGCAGUAAAGAGAUAUUUCACAAGUAGAAGCACAGUGUAGACUCUCUGAACCCCAAAUUCAUAGAUCUCUAAGAACGCCCAAAUUUGAAAGUCUGAAUGUGCUGGCUCAGGACUGUCAUCAGAGGGGACCCCUUCUUUCUCAACUCCAGCCACAGCUAUGAGGUUUACUUGCAUUGGCUUUUUUAAAAAUCGCAGCAGGUUACUUCAAAGUAAACCUCUCCAUAAUUCUGCUUUCUUAAUGCCAAUCUCCACACACUGGCUAAAUGCUGAGGUCCCCAAGCACACUUCCUAGCACCUCUAUUCAGACCGUGUGCUUCUUCCAGGCUGGUUAACAGGUGCUGUCAGGCAGAAGAACUCACGCCUGCCUGAGAGGAUGAGGUGUGCAAAGCGUUCCUAAUGAGAGAAGCGGGACGGUCACUGCCCCGGCUCGGAAUGGGGAACCAGCAAAGACGUUUAAGUCCCAGACGUUUGCGGCCAUUCUCCUGACCAACAAGUGGCACCUGGGUGCGCCCACUGAGUUACAGGAGGAAAGGGUGGACCCUGGCUACCGCCCCUGCCCGGGAGCCCCUGCCAGUGCGGAAGCCCGGGAGAGGGUGGGCAGCCGCUGGCCGGGUGCGCCUUGCCGUGGAUCCCGCGGGGCUCCGAGGGCAGGAGGACAGAGCAUGGCCCUGAAGGAUGGAGUGUUCUCGGGUCCGCCUGACCCUGUCCCGACCGCCCACAGCUCUGAGGACCGCGUCUCCAUGGCAGUUGCGCUUAAACACAAAAAACCAAGCAACGUGACUGCCCACGUCUCUAGAAAAUACUGGGCAGGGUGGAAUAUCCCGAACGCGCUCCAGGAGAAAGGAUUUGGCACCCCGAGGGACUUUGAAAAUGCCAACGAGAAAAUGUGGUCCGGCUUGGCAGCUGAACUGCGCGGGAGGCCGAGGGUUUGAAAGAGGAAAGUGUAACGUGAACGGCGGCGUCGGAACUCUGGCUCUGGGAGCAGCCCCCGCCGGUCAGAAUCCUACCGUCGCGCCUAGGAAACGCCCGGGUCCUGCGGGGCGGCUGGGGGUUCGGCGAGGCUGCUCCCGCUCCCCUCGCUCCCGCCCCAGCUCCUGCAACAGGCGAUCGGGCGGCUCGGGUAUUUACAGAAUAAAAUGACAAUACGCCGAG
Rhinolophus ferrumequinum (greater horseshoe bat) is the source of this 1740-nucleotide long non-coding RNA. The record is from Ensembl. NCBI's taxonomy places the organism in Eukaryota, Metazoa, Chordata, Mammalia, Chiroptera, Rhinolophidae.